CCCCUAGAUGUCCUGGGCCGCACGCGCGCUACACUGAACAGUUCAACAAGUCUUAACCUUGGCCGAUAGGUCUGGGUAAUCUUUGAACGCUGUUCGUGAUUGGGAUAGACCUUUGCAAUUAUGGGUCUUCAACGAGGAAUUCCUAGUAAACGCAAGUCAUCAGCUUGCAUUGAUUACGUCCCUGCCCUUUGUACACACCGCCCGUCGCACCUACCGAUUGAAUGGUCCGGUGAAAUCUCGGGACGGCGGCUUGGUCGCUUGCGUCCGACUGCUGAAACUUGAUUAAACCAUAUCAUUUAGAGGAAGGUGAAGUCGUANCA
This 320-nucleotide ribosomal RNA is filed under the name uncultured eukaryote. RNAcentral's name for it is "partial 18S ribosomal RNA". It matches the Rfam family "Eukaryotic small subunit ribosomal RNA", at positions 1470 to 1796 of the family's 1831-position model. The record is from RNAcentral.